RNAcentral lists this unclassified non-coding RNA (273 nucleotides) under Hevea brasiliensis (rubber tree). Lineage: Eukaryota; Viridiplantae; Streptophyta; Magnoliopsida; Malpighiales; Euphorbiaceae. The record is from RNAcentral.
GUUGACUAAGGAUUUUACUAAGGCACGGGAUUUAAGCAUCGAGGGUUUCAAGGUGUUGAAGUAGAAGUAAUCGGGUUGUUGAAGGAAUUGAAGCUGCCAUUGUUGUUGAGCGGAGAUUAUGGAUUUCGGGCAUGACCCGAAACUGCCGUUGUUGAUUCGGGCUAUGGUGAGGUCGUGGUGUGAGAACUCCGCCGCGAUUUCGGUUUCGGUGAUGGCUUUUGCGGUGGUUGAUGGACCAUUUUCACGGCGGAAGUCACCGGAAGACAUGGUGAG